Molecule: ribosomal RNA, 227 nt
Filed under: uncultured Lactobacillus sp.
Lineage: Bacteria; Bacillati; Bacillota; Bacilli; Lactobacillales; Lactobacillaceae
Description: partial 16S ribosomal RNA
Rfam family: Bacterial small subunit ribosomal RNA
Source: RNAcentral
AGAUCGGGAUAACACCUGGAAACAGAUGCUAAUACCGGAUAACAACAGAUGAUGCCUAUCAACUGUUUAAAAGAUGGUUCUGCUAUCACUCUUGGAUGGACCUGCGGUGCAUUAGCUAGUUGGUAGGGUAACGGCCUACCAAGGCGAUGAUGCAUAGCCGAGUCGAGAGACUGAUCGGCCACAUUGGGACUGAGACACGGCCCAAACUCCUACGGGAGGCAGCAGUC